Molecule: ribosomal RNA, 372 nt
Filed under: uncultured organism
Description: partial 16S ribosomal RNA
Rfam family: Bacterial small subunit ribosomal RNA
Source: RNAcentral
GUAGGUGGCAAGCGUUGUCCGGAAUUAUUGGGCGUAAAGCGCGCGCAGGCGGUCCUUUAAGUCUGAUGUGAAAGCCCACGGCUCAACCGUGGAGGGUCAUUGGAAACUGGGGGACUUGAGUACAGAAGAGGAAAGCGGAAUUCCAAGUGUAGCGGUGAAAUGCGUAGAGAUUUGGAGGAACACCAGUGGCGAAGGCGGCUUUCUGGUCUGUAACUGACGCUGAGGCGCGAAAGCGUGGGGAGCAAACAGGAUUAGAUACCCUGGUAGUCCACGCCGUAAACGAUGAGUGCUAAGUGUUAGGGGGUUUCCCGCUCCUUAGUGCUGCAGCUAACGCAUUAAGCACUCCGCCUGGGGAGUACGGCCGCAAGGCUG